ACGUAGCUAACCUACCCUUGGGACGGGUACAACCCCGGGAAACUGAGGUUAAUACCCGAUAGGUGUGGAAUCCUGGAAUGGUACCACGCCCAAAUGUAAACGCAUCCAUGUUUGCGUGCACGCCCGAGGAUGGGGCUGCGGCCGAUCAGGCAGUUGGUGAGGUAACGGCUCACCAAACCUUUGACCGGUACGGGCCAUGAGAGUGGUAGCCCGGAGAUGGGCACUGAGACAAGGGCCCAGGCCCUACGGGGCGCAGCAGGCGCGAAACCUCCACAAUUCACGAAAGUGAGAUGGGGUUACCUCGAGUGCCGCCUGAAGAAGGCGGCUUUUCCAUUGUGUAAUGAGCCGUGGGAAUAAGAGGGGGGCAAGACUGGUGUCAGCCGCCGCGGUAACACCAGCCCCUCGAGUGGUGGGGAUGAUUAUUUGGCCUAAAGCGUCCGUAGCCUGCUCUGUAAAUCUUUCGUUAAAUCCAGCGUCCUAAGCGUUGGGCUGCGAGAGAGACUGCAGAGCUAGAGGGUGGGAGAGGUCAGCGGUAUUCCUGGGGUAGGGGCGAAAUCCAUUGAUCCCAGGAGGACCACCAGUGGCGAAGGCUGCUGACUAGAACACGCCUGACGGUGAGGGACGAAAGCUGGGGUAGCGAAUCGGAUUAGAUACCCGAGUAGUCCCAGCCGUAAACGAUGCAGGCUAGGUGUUGGGUUGGCCACGUGCCAGCUCAGUGCCACAGGGAAGCCAUUAAGCCUGCCGCCUGGGGAGUACGGCCGCAAGGCUGAAACUUAAAGGAAUUGGCGGGGGAGCACCACCAGGCGUGAAGCCUGCGGUUUAAUUGGAGUCAACGCCGGG
This 840-nucleotide ribosomal RNA is filed under the name uncultured archaeon. Its description in RNAcentral is "bacterial SSU rRNA". It matches the Rfam family "Archaeal small subunit ribosomal RNA", at positions 98 to 922 of the family's 1478-position model. The record is from RNAcentral.